Salvia splendens (bonfire salvia) is the source of this 1914-nucleotide long non-coding RNA. RefSeq lists it as uncharacterized. NCBI's taxonomy places the organism in Eukaryota, Viridiplantae, Streptophyta, Magnoliopsida, Lamiales, Lamiaceae. The transcript has 2 exons. The record is from RefSeq and is a predicted model, not a curated record.
UCCACACAAGCAAAUAAUUCCUUAAACUCCACAUUCACUAUCCACAUUCGCAUCUGAGUGGAGGAUAUUGGCAUGGCAGGCGAUCCAACAAUGAAUGACAACAGGUAGGUUACUGAUCUGUUUCAAUUUUUCAUGCCUUAUUUUUAUGGCGAGUGGGUCUGCCUAUGUAUUCGGCAACAUUCUGAAAUCAUUGUAUCCCUGAUAUAUAUUAUGACAUGAAGUAUUUCGAAGAAUAUAAUAGACUCCCUCAAUUCUUCAAAUUGUUUUACUCAAUCCAACACUCGAACAACCUGGUCAGUUUAAUUACAACAUACAUACGAAUUUCAUUUACUUUGUUCAACCAAAAUAUUUGGAAUUGUAUAUCAUGUCAUGUAAUGCUUGCCAAACAAACAUGUCAUGCAAAUUAUUUGGAAUUGUAUACCUCCAGAGUUUGUGUCCGAGCAUGGCGACUCAAUCCCUUAUCAAUGUUUACUCGCUGCCUAAAAUCAGAAGUAACAAUUGCAAAAAGGUCUUGUGGCUGGUACUUUCAUGAGGGGUGGUCUGAGUUUGUUUACAAGAAUCAUGUUUCAAAUGGAGAAUGGAUCACAUUCACUCAUGCGGGCGAUGGACUCUUCUACGUGAAGCGAUUUAUGUUCACGAGUGGAUGCCCACCUCGUAGUGACCUCGAGAGUAAGUAUCGAUUGUUAGAGUACUGUGAUGAUAUGACUGCAAUUGUAUAGCAAUGCCCUGAUCAAUGUAGUUGGGGGUCUCCCUAUUAUGCCAAUCGACGACCAACUGGAUGUGGAUUCAUCCGACUGAUGGUUAGAUUCACUGUCUGAAAUUGAGUCUCUAACUGGAGUGGGCCUUGAUGCCGAGUUAACCGAAAGUCACACAAAACCAUUGUUUACCAUCACUUUCUCGGGGUUAGCAGUAGAACAACAUCUCAAUGUACCAACCGAUUUUUGGAAUGCACACAUAGCAAUGGGUGGACAUAGGAUAAAGGCAUGCCUCACCGGACAUGGGACGUGCUUAUAGCAAAAAAGAACAAGGUAUGUCGUCCAUGGUGGUUGGAAGACUUUUGUUCGGGAUAACGACAUAGGAACCAGUGACAAUUGCACAUUUAACCUUGUUUAGGCAGACGGUCUCCACUUCCGUGUUAGUGUGAUCCGGUAGAUGAAAAAGGUACACUUCUAGGUGGUAAACACAAACAAAUUUUGUGAUAUGCCAGCACCAAUGUCUGUUACAUCUAAUUUGGGUAGUAGUAUUUAUUUUGGAAUUGAUAAUGUAUGUAGUGAAUGACUCGUAUGUAUAUGUGUAGUAACUAGUAUGACUUAGUGUGUAAUCUCAGUAACUUUUGUGUAUGCAAUGCUUAAUCAUCUCAGUAGCAAUGUCGGGUUGUCAAGUGCAGAUGAAUCCAUACACGUGCAGUCCCAAAUAAUAGAGUCUAUAAAUCCAAUAUGUUACAAAACGCAUACUUGAAGAAAUAUUCUAGUUUUAAGUACAUACCAUACCAACCGAAAGAGAAAACAAAAGGAGGCACACACGGUCCUCAAGCAUGGAGUUCUUAUAAUUUACAAAUUUCAUAACUCAUAAACUUGCAACUUGCUAAAUGACCUUGCCAACUAAAAUACCAAGGAGUACCAACACUAUGCACAUGAAACCGAUUAACACCUGCGCAACGAUGGGAUUUGACAACUUGCUUCCACAACAAUGGCCUGCACCGCCUUUGCAGCCCACAGCAUCAUGCAUCGGCAUUAGAAUGCCCACGCUCCCCGCUUAGGUUUGUGAAGGUCCACAUCUGACCGUUUUCGUGGUUUGUCUGCGUGAUAUUAGUCAGACCACUUGAAGGAACCCGGGUGUUGUCCAUUGGCGGAACACUUGUAGUAGUACCUUCCAGCAUGUUUAGCGGCCGGCCCGGCAUAACGCAACUCCAUU